GAUGAACGCUGGCGGCGUGCCUAAUACAUGCAAGUCGAGCGAACAGACGAGGAGCUUGCUCCUUUGACGUUAGCGGCGGACGGGUGAGUAACACGUAGGUAACCUACCUAUAAGACUGGGAUAACUUCGGGAAACCGGAGCUAAUACCGGAUAAUAUUUCGAACCGCAUGGUUCGAUAGUGAAAGAUGGCUUUGCUAUCACUUAUAGAUGGACCUGCGCCGUAUUGGCUAGUUGGUAAGGUAACGGCUUACCAAGGCAAAUAGACGUAGCCGACCUGAGAGGGUGAUCGGCCACACUGGAACUGAGCCACGGUCCAGACUCCUACGGGAGGCAGCAGUAGGGAAUCUUCCGCAAUGGGCGAAAGCCUGACGGAGCAACGCCGCGUGAGUGAUGAAGGUCUUCGGAUCGUAAAACUCUGUUAUGAGGGAAGAACAAACGUGUAAGUAACUGUGCACGUCGUGACGGUACCUAAUCAGAAAGCCACGGCUAACUACGUG
RNAcentral lists this ribosomal RNA (497 nucleotides) under uncultured bacterium. RNAcentral's name for it is "partial 16S ribosomal RNA". It matches the Rfam family "Bacterial small subunit ribosomal RNA", at positions 28 to 507 of the family's 1533-position model. The record is from RNAcentral.